Molecule: transfer RNA, 71 nt
Filed under: uncultured archaeon
Lineage: Archaea
Description: tRNA-Cys(gca)
Rfam family: tRNA
About the family: Transfer RNA (tRNA) molecules are approximately 80 nucleotides in length. Their secondary structure includes four short double-helical elements and three loops (D, anti-codon, and T loops). Further hydrogen bonds mediate the characteristic L-shaped molecular structure. tRNAs have two regions of fundamental functional importance: the anti-codon, which is responsible for specific mRNA codon recognition, and the 3' end, to which the tRNAs corresponding amino acid is attached (by aminoacyl-tRNA synthetases). tRNAs cope with the degeneracy of the genetic code in two manners: having more than one tRNA (with a specific anti-codon) for a particular amino acid; and 'wobble' base-pairing, i.e. permitting non-standard base-pairing at the 3rd anti-codon position.
Source: RNAcentral
GCCAGGAUGGCAGAGCGGCCAUGCAGUCGGCUGCAGACCGACAUAGCCCAGUUCAACUCUGGGUCCUGGCU